UGGAGCUGAAAUCAGUCGAAGAUACCAGCUGGCUGCAACUGUUUAUUAAAAACACAGCACUGUGCAAACACGAAAGUGGACGUAUACGGUGUGACGCCUGCCCGGUGCCGGAAGGUUAAUUGAUGGGGUUAUCCUCGCGGAGAAGCUCUUGAUCGAAGCCCCGGUAAACGGCGGCCGUAACUAUAACGGUCCUAAGGUAGCGAAAUUCCUUGUCGGGUAAGUUCCGACCUGCACGAAUGGCGUAAUGAUGGCCAGGCUGUCUCCACCCGAGACUCAGUGAAAUUGAACUCGCUGUGAAGAUGCAGUGUACCCGCGGCAAGACGGAAAGACCCCGUGAACCUUUACUAUAGCUUGACACUGAACACUGGUCCUUGAUGUGUAGGAUAGGUGGGAGGCUUUGAAGUGUGGACGCCAGUCUGCAUGGAGCCAUCCUUGAAAUACCACCCUUUAAUGGCUGGUGUUCUAACGUGGGCCCCUAAUCGGGGUUGCGGACAGUGUCUGGUGGGUAGUUUGACUGGGGCGGUCUCCUCCUAAAGAGUAACGGAGGAGCACGAAGGUCAGCUAAUCCUGGUCGGACAUCAGGAGGUUAGUGCAAUGGCAUAAGCUGGCUUGACUGCGAGCGUGACGGCGCGAGCAGGUGCGAAAGCAGGUCAUAGUGAUCCGGUGGUUCUGAAUGGAAGGGCCAUCGCUCAACGGAUAAAAGGUACUCCGGGGAUAACAGGCUGAUACCGCCCAAGAGUUCAUAUCGACGGCGGUGUUUGGCACCUCGAUGUCGGCUCAUCACAUCCUGGGGCUGAAGUAGGUCCCAAGGGUAUGGCUGUUCGCCAUUUAAAGUGGUACGCGAGCUGGGUUUAGAACGUCGUGAGACAGUUCGGUCCCUAUCUGCCGUGGGCGCUGGAGAAUUGAGGGGGGCUGCUCCUAGUACGAGAGGACCGGAGUGGACGCAUCACUGGUGUUCGGGUUGUCAUGCCAAUGGCAUUGCCCGGUAGCUAAAUGCGGAAGAGAUAAGUGCUGAAAGCAUCUAAGCACGAAACUUGCCCCGAGAUGAGUUCUCCCUGACUCCUUGAGAGUCCUGAAGGAACGUUGAAGACGACGACGUUGAUAGGCCGGGUGUGUAAGCGCAGCGAUGCGUUGAGCUAACCGGUACUAAUGAACCGUGAGGCUUAACCUUACAACGCCGAAG
This 1183-nucleotide ribosomal RNA is filed under the name Klebsiella michiganensis. RNAcentral's name for it is "partial 23S ribosomal RNA". It matches the Rfam family "Bacterial large subunit ribosomal RNA", at positions 1762 to 2925 of the family's 2925-position model. The record is from RNAcentral. Lineage: Bacteria; Pseudomonadati; Pseudomonadota; Gammaproteobacteria; Enterobacterales; Enterobacteriaceae.